Populus euphratica (Euphrates poplar) is the source of this 1779-nucleotide long non-coding RNA. RefSeq lists it as uncharacterized. The transcript has 2 exons. Lineage: Eukaryota; Viridiplantae; Streptophyta; Magnoliopsida; Malpighiales; Salicaceae. The record is from RefSeq and is a predicted model, not a curated record.
UCCUGAUAAGCACAAUAAAAUUUUCUCAAUCAGCUAACCGCCCUGAGCCGAGCCAUUUUCAGCGCGGCUCCUCAUCCCCAGGUGGGUCAAGGAGCAGCAGUGAUGAGCACUCACGCAGCCUCAAAGUCUCAGAGUUUCUCUUGGAGAAUAGCUUAUUGUUUUGGGAUAUCGAACCCCUGCGUCGUGCGUGGUGUUGCUGGCACUGUUUUUUUCUCUGUCACGGCUUCCUCUUGAUGCAAGAGGUGCCCGCUAAGGAAGCGUUGCCGGCGGAGAAAUUGAUACCUCAGGACGUUGUUCUUUACCAGUACGAAGCUUGCCCUUUGGGCAACAAGGUUAAAGACACUCUAUUUUCGGCUUUGUAGUGGAGCAACAAGGAAAUUGUUUACCUUGUUUCGUUGCCUUGAAAUCAAUUUUGAGGUUGUUUUCUGCUCUAUUGUCACAUUGGGGAUGUAAAUUUAAUGGGGUAGAACCAAAUUUACCUGUGUAUUUUGUUUUUGUCAUACUAAAAGGCAUUCAUUUUGAGGCGGGGGGGUUUUUCUGCUGUUGGAAGUAUCUUCUUACAAACAAUGUAUUUUAACAAAUGCGUGUAGCUGCUUUUCUGUGAAGGCAUUUGAAUAGGUACAUGACUAUGCUCUCUAGGAUUCAUAACCUAUCAAUCAAGAUGGAUGCCAGUUUAAAAGGUUGAUGGGGGUGAUUGUUUUCAGUUCUGUUGCAGGCUGUAGAGUUGGUUUGAGAUGUUAAGUUACGGGUCCAUAUCUACGACCUGCAGUAUGUUUGAUCCUUCAUGUAUUUGGACAUUUUCCUCGCCAAUUACCAUUGUGUUUUUUCCUUCGAUUUUCUGUGGUUAAACAGCUGGUUCUUGUGUGGUGGAGGCCAGAGAAAUGAACACCAAAUUUAUAUGCUUUAUUUAUUUUACUAUUCUUGUAAACUUACGUGCUUUAUGUUUAUAGGCAUGAUUGAUAAAUUUUUUCUAAGGAUACAUCCAGACUACUCUGUUCCUGACAGUAACGAAGACAGGAAAUGGUGCUAGUAUUGUUGCAUUUCUUACACUUAAUUUUUUAGGCAUUUACUGGCUCAAAAAUCUACGUUAGCGAUUAUAUAAACAAGUUAUUUGUGUCCGUGCUAUGGUAUCUUGUUUUUACAAAUUGCUUGUUGCCACAGAUUCAAACAUUUCUGGUAUAAUCACAUGUUUUCAUUUGCUGCUACACUUCGCUUUGGCAAAUAAUAUUUGAAAAUUGAUGUUGCAAAGACUUGUGAUGUGGGUGGGUGGACAAUCACUUGGUGCAUGUUUUGUCGCCAAACAUAUCGAUCAACUCCUGAAGUUCUUGAAUCAUUCGACUAGAUCACCACCCAUGGUAGGAUAUUUAGGCUUACAGCAUUAUAAUUUUUUACUCGAACCAUCUUGAUGGUGUUUUGUUUGGUUGAGCUUUUACAUCAUUUUGUUUAGAAUCCUUAGUUUAAGCUAACUGUUAUUCUCUUAUGAUCCUCCCCGACAAAUUCAGGCAAUUUCAGCUUCACUGAGAGGUUGGUAGCUAGUAUGCAGGAGCUGUAAUGUACUUUAUGUCAAAGAGAACUGAUGAAGAAACAUAACAUUACUGACGAAUGGGUAGAAACUCUGAAAAGUUGCGAUUCAUGAAUAUCUUGGUCAUUAUUUCUUUUUUCUCCGAUGAUGAUCUUGCUCGCUGUUUAGUGUCAAGAUAUGAGACUUGGCCUUCUGUCAGAGCCAUCAACUGUUCUGUUGUAUUUCUUAAUAGGUGGCUUUUAACCCAGUUUAGUUGA